GAUGAACGCUGGCGGCGUGCCUAAUACAUGCAAGUCGAGCGAACAGACGAGGAGCUUGCUCCUCUGACGUUAGCGGCGGACGGGUGAGUAACACGUGGAUAACCUACCUAUAAGACUGGGAUAACUUCGGGAAACCGGAGCUAAUACCGGAUAAUAUAUUGAUCCGCAUGGUUCAAUAGUGAAAGACGGUUUUGCUGUCACUUAUAGAUGGAUCCGCGCCGCAUUAGCUAGUUGGUAAGGUAACGGCUUACCAAGGCAACGAUGCGUAGCCGACCUGAGAGGGUGAUCGGCCACACUGGAACUGAGACACGGUCCAGACUCCUACGGGAGGCAGUAGUAGGGAAUCUUCCGCAAUGGGCGAAAGCCUGACGGAGCAACGCCGCGUGAGUGAUGAAGGUCUUCGGAUCGUAAAACUCUGUUAUUAGGGAAGAACAAAUGUGUAAGUAACUAUGCACGUCUUGACGGUACCUAAUCAGAAAGCCACGGCUAACUACGUG
Molecule: ribosomal RNA, 497 nt
Filed under: uncultured bacterium
Lineage: Bacteria
Description: partial 16S ribosomal RNA
Rfam family: Bacterial small subunit ribosomal RNA
Source: RNAcentral